UCAAACGCCCCCUGCCGCCCUCCGCCAUUGGCUGCCUCCGCGGUGACGUAGCAUCGCGUGAUUGGGUGCCGCGCCACCCGAAUGCGGGCGGGCUCCGAAAACUCGGCCGCCGAGUCCAAAGUCUCGCGAGAGGCGCGGGGCACGCUGGGAGCGGCGGCUGGCCCCUGCCCCACAGUGAUGCCAGCCCGCCUGCUUCCCCCCGAGCUCAUCCCCCCCCUUGACUUCUCCUUCUUCCCACUGCGUUCCCUGCAGGAUCUGAGCCCCGAGGGCAGCCCUUCUCCCACCCUGGCCCUCCGCCUGCCCUACACCGGGCUGAGCAACCUGGUGGGGCUGCAGCCCACCCUGCAGCAGCUCCUGGCCAACCCCACACAGCUCCGUUGGCUCGACCUCUCCUUCAACUGCCUGACCACCAUUGACCAGGUGCUGACCACGCUGGGGGGGCUGCAGAGCCUCUACCUGCACGGGAACACCAUCAGCUGCCUGAGUGAGGUGGACAAACUGGGAGCUCUGAGCCAGCUGCACCGCCUGACGUUGUAUGGGAACCCUAUGGAGGAGGAGAGGGGCUACAGCUUCCCCCACAGGUGCUACGUGCUGGCCCUGCUGCCCCAGCUCAGCACCCUGGAUUUCAGUGCUGUGACCCCGCAGGAGCGCAGGGAGGUGGCUGUGUGGGGAGGCAUCCGCAGGCAGCCCCGACCCCACCGAGCUUCGGAAUGAGAGCACCCCCCAGUCUUUGGGCAGGAAGAGGAGCAGCAGGUGGAGGGGGUGCCAGAAACCACCUGGGAGCACCAAGAUGUUUCCACCCGGUGCCCAGCGACCCAGUGGAACAGAGAGGAGGCAGGGGCGGGCUGGAUGUGUUUAUCUGCGGUGGCAGAAGAAGAAUAAUUAAAACAAAACCAAAAAGAAAACCAUAUAAACCAGGAGAGGGCAGAAGAAGCCACUGGAAGGUCUCCUCCGGGAGCAUCCAGCUCCUGCCUGCCCUUCCCAGGGUGGGAGGCAACACCAGACCCCCAGCAAUGAGGAUGCAGCCCCCCUCCCCACUGCCUCCCCAUGCAUACAGUGGGGGAAAAAGCCACAGGGGCAGCGCUGGGGGGGGGGAAGGGAGGUUGUGAGACCACCAUCAUUUUGUGGGCGAUUCAUAGGAAACGGGGCGUAUGUACAAGUUCUGUGCUGUGGGAACGGGGUGGGAAA
Molecule: non-coding RNA, 1188 nt
Organism: Meleagris gallopavo (turkey)
Lineage: Eukaryota; Metazoa; Chordata; Aves; Galliformes; Phasianidae
Source: RefSeq, a predicted model, not a curated record